AACGAUCUGUAGCUGGUCUGAGAGGACGACCAGCCACACUGGAACUGAGACACGGUCCAGACUCCUACGGGAGGCAGCAGUGGGGAAUUUUGGACAAUGGACGCAAGUCUGAUCCAGCCAUUCCGCGUGCAGGACGAAGGCCUUCGGGUUGUAAACUGCUUUUGUACGGAACGAAAAAGCUCUUAUUAAUACUAGGAGUCCAUGACGGUACCGUAAGAAUAAGCACCGGCUAACUACGUGCCAGCAGCCGCGGUAAUACGUAGGGUGCAAGCGUUAAUCGGAAUUACUGGGCGUAAAGCGUGCGCAGGCGGUUAUAUAAGACAGAUGUGAAAUCCCCGAGCUUAACUUGGGAACUGCAUUUGUGACUGUAUAGCUAGAGUACGGCAGAGGGGGAUGGAAUUCCGCGUGUAGCAGUGAAAUGCGUAGAUAUGCGGAGGAACACCGAUGGCGAAGGUAAUCCCCUGGGCCUGUACUGACGCUCAUGCACGAAAGCGUGGGGAGCAAACAGGAUUAGAUACCCUGGUAGUCCACGCCCU
Molecule: ribosomal RNA, 536 nt
Filed under: uncultured Comamonadaceae bacterium
Lineage: Bacteria; Pseudomonadati; Pseudomonadota; Betaproteobacteria; Burkholderiales; Comamonadaceae
Description: bacterial SSU rRNA
Rfam family: Bacterial small subunit ribosomal RNA
Source: RNAcentral